CUUAACCCUGUCCCAGAGCGGCCUGGACACGGCCCGGCUCGUCGGGGCGGCGCCCGCGCCUGGGAGCCUCGGGAACAGUUCAGUUGUCUACAUUAACACUGCUGAUGUCAGCACUAAGGCAUCCUUGCUCUUUGUACCCAAGGGCUGUGAUGUCAGCCCACUGGGACCUCCCCUGAGCCUGGCGUCUUGGGCUUUGCUGGAGCUUAGGCACACAGGCGGCAUCCACGACUGAUCCCAGCUAUUCGGACUCCAGAGCCCCUCCCCAAAUACACCUCUACAGAGAUGUCAGAACGGCUGCGAUACAAAAAGCUGACAAUACGAAUUGCUGGCAAGGAUGCAGAGUAACACACUCCCGUUCGCUGUUGGGGAGGAAAAUGGAGAAAUUGUGGGACAUCCACACAAUGGAACAAUAUUCAGUGACAGAAAAGAAGAAGCCAUGAAGCCCCACAAAAAUGUGGAUGAGUUUAAACACAUAUUGCUAGCCGAAAGAAGUCAGUCUGAAACUCCCACAGUUCAUUUUUAUGAUAUUCUGGAAAGGUUUCUAUGAAAUUGUUGACCACAUAGAAAACUUAAGUGGAUGUACAUUAUAUGAAGAAGAAAUUUGCUUCAAGUUCAGGUCUCAUCAUUCUCACGAGCCAUCUGUGAACUCUACUAUCCACAAUAAUUAACUGAGCCGAAAAAUCUCCCUCUCUUCUCUCCUCACAUCUCAGCAUCUAAUUAAAAUCAUAUUAUUUUAACUUUGUGUUAAUACCUAUGAAGCAAUUAGCAAACAUUUUUAUUUUCAUGUAUUUUCUUCCUUCUCCUCCAAUUUUUGAUAGUUCUGUUAUAUGUAUGACAUCAAAGAAUAUACGUUUACCAUAAUUUUCUCAUCAGCAU
This 876-nucleotide long non-coding RNA is filed under the name Equus caballus (horse). RNAcentral describes it as "lncRNA (ENSECAG00000044210.1)". The record is from RNAcentral. Lineage: Eukaryota; Metazoa; Chordata; Mammalia; Perissodactyla; Equidae.